CGACCGGCGCACGGGUGAGUAACGCGUAUGCAACCUGCCCGUUUCAGCGGGAUAACCCGGAGAAAUCUGGCCUAAUACCGCAUGUGGCCGAGGGGAGGCAUCUUCUUUCGGCCAAAGGAGGCGACUCCGGAGACGGAUGGGCAUGCGUGACAUUAGCUAGUUGGCGGGGUAACGGCCCACCAAGGCGACGAUGUCUAGGGGUUCUGAGAGGAAGGUCCCCCACACUGGUACUGAGACACGGACCAGACUCCUACGGAAGGCAGCAG
This 266-nucleotide ribosomal RNA is filed under the name uncultured bacterium. Its description in RNAcentral is "partial 16S ribosomal RNA". It matches the Rfam family "Bacterial small subunit ribosomal RNA", at positions 92 to 354 of the family's 1533-position model. The record is from RNAcentral.